CUGUAGUCGUACCGGUACCCGUAUGUCUUAACCGGUCCCGUAGAGUUUUAACUUGGCCUUGGUGGUUGAAUGGCGGACGCCUGAGUUUCACGUGAGUAACCUGCCCCUGAUUUCGGGAUAAGCCUGGGAAACUGGGUCUAAUACCGGAUACGACCUCCUGACGCAUGUUGGGUGGUGGAAAGUUUUUCGAUCGGGGAUGGGCUCGCGGCCUAUCAGCUUGUUGGUGGGGUAAUGGCCUACCAAGGCGACGACGGGUAGCCGGCCUGAGAGGGCGACCGGCCACACUGGGACUGAGACACGGCCCAGACUCCUACGGGAGGCAGCAGUGGGGAAUAUUGCACAAUGGGGGAAACCCUGAUGCAGCGACGCGGCGUGCGGGAUGACGGCCUUCGGGUUGUAAACCGCUUUCAGCAGGGAAGAAGCGAAAGUGACGGUACCUGCAGAAGAAGUACCGGCUAACUACGUGCCAGCAGCCGCGGUAAUACGUAGGGUACGAGCGUUGUCCGGAAUUAUUGGGC
Molecule: ribosomal RNA, 518 nt
Filed under: Brevibacterium sp. HPC 1304
Lineage: Bacteria; Bacillati; Actinomycetota; Actinomycetes; Micrococcales; Brevibacteriaceae
Description: bacterial SSU rRNA
Rfam family: Bacterial small subunit ribosomal RNA
Source: RNAcentral